This 257-nucleotide ribosomal RNA is filed under the name uncultured bacterium. RNAcentral's name for it is "partial 16S ribosomal RNA". It matches the Rfam family "Bacterial small subunit ribosomal RNA", at positions 524 to 776 of the family's 1533-position model. The record is from RNAcentral.
UACGUAGGCAGCAAGCGUUUGUUCGGAGUUACUGGGCGUAAAGGGUGCGUAGGCGGCCCUGUAAGUAUGGUGUGAAAUCUCCCGGCUUAACUGGGAGGGUGCGCUAUAGACUGCGGGGCUCGAGUGUGGGGAGAGGAAAGUGGAAUUCCUGGUGUAGCGGUGAAAUGCGUAGAUAUCAGGAGGAACACCGGUGGUGUAAACGGCUUUCUGGACCAUAAACUGACGCUGAGGCACGAAAAGCGUGGGUAGCAAACAGG